Molecule: ribosomal RNA, 319 nt
Filed under: uncultured bacterium
Lineage: Bacteria
Description: bacterial SSU rRNA
Rfam family: Bacterial small subunit ribosomal RNA
Source: RNAcentral
GAUGAACGCUGGCGGCGUGCUUAACACAUGCAAGUCGAGGGGCAGCGGUGGUGAAGGCUUGCCUUUACCAGCCGGCGACCGGCGCACGGGUGAGUAACACGUAUGCAACCUGCCUGCCACAGCCGGAUAAUCGGGAGAAAUCCCGUCUAAUACGGCAUAAUGCACCUAUGGGACAUCCUGUUGGUGCCAAAGGUUAAUUCCGGUGGCGGAUGGGCAUGCGUCGCAUUAGUUAGUUGGCGGUGUAACGGACCACCAAGACGACGAUGCGUAGGGGUUCUGAGAGGAAGGUCCCCCACACUGGUACUGAGACACGGACCAG